GCCUCCUGAGCCGUAUACUCGUGUGCUUGUCGAAUAAUCCGUGUGCCGGCUGAAUAUGUGUGCCUUCGCUGGAGCGUACUACGUUGUUCCGCGCUCCGCCCGUGAGGAGUGACGUGGCACCGCGUAUUCUACCGCAGUGCAUUCGUCGCUGCGUUCGUGCCUGUUAUCUGCACUGCAACCUCGCCUUUGAAAGGACGACAACCUUGCUUUUUAAUUACAAGUUGAAUGUUUGCUUAAGACGAUGGACACAUUGCAAAUGGCGGCAGAAGUGGAUCGGCUACAUCGGUGAAGCGACGAUUUAUAUUACAAGCGAGGCUAAUUGUAUUCUUUCGUUAUAGGUGAAUGUGGGACUGUAUCGACUGCAAGGACGUAGUGUCCUGUCUCAACGGUCACGCAUAUGCGUGCAAAACUGCAACUGCUUCUCACAUCGAAGAGGGGUCUGGUGCCACAUGCUCGGACAAUUAUUCGUCGGCCAUUUCGUUUGAGGAACUGUCGUGUUCGUCAUUAAGGAUGAUCUUGGUUGAGCUUUGCAGUGCCAGCCUGGUGCAUCGGAGGGGUUGUGUCCAUGCAACGUGUGCUCCAUAUGUGUGUGUUGGGAUUAGUGAACCGUGUAUGCUUUCCAUUCGGCCAACGAUGAUGUACUGGAUGAAAUUUAAAGGUAUGUGCACGCCAAUAAACUUUGUUGUUUCAA
Long non-coding RNA from Ornithodoros turicata, 691 nucleotides. RefSeq lists it as uncharacterized. The transcript has 3 exons. NCBI's taxonomy places the organism in Eukaryota, Metazoa, Arthropoda, Arachnida, Ixodida, Argasidae. The record is from RefSeq and is a predicted model, not a curated record.